UAGGACUCUCGAUAAUGGAUAUCUUGGCUCUCGCAUCGAUGAAGAGCGCAGUGAAAUGUGAUAUGUGGUGUGAUUUGCAGAAUCCCGUGAACCAUUGAGUAUUUGAACGCAUGUUGCGCCUUAGGCUAGCUGGCUAUAGGCACGUCCACUUGGGUGUCAAGC
This 162-nucleotide ribosomal RNA is filed under the name Satyrium sceptrum. RNAcentral describes it as "5.8S ribosomal RNA". It matches the Rfam family "5.8S ribosomal RNA". From Rfam's summary of the family: 5.8S ribosomal RNA (5.8S rRNA) is a component of the large subunit of the eukaryotic ribosome. It is transcribed by RNA polymerase I as part of the 45S precursor that also contains 18S and 28S rRNA. Lineage: Eukaryota; Viridiplantae; Streptophyta; Magnoliopsida; Asparagales; Orchidaceae. The record is from RNAcentral.